AUUGAACGCUGGCGGCAUGCCUUACACAUGCAAGUCGAACGGUAACAGGUCUUCGGAUGCUGACGAGUGGCGAACGGGUGAGUAAUACAUCGGAACGUGCCCGAUCGUGGGGGAUAACGAGGCGAAAGCUUUGCUAAUAUCGCAUACGAUCUACGGAUGAAAGCGGGGGAUCUUCGGACCUCGCGCGGACGGAGCGGCCGAUGGCAGAUUAGGUAGUUGGUGGGAUAAAAGCUUACCAAGCCGACGAUCUGUAGCUGGUCUGAGAGGAUGAUCAGCCACACUGGGACUGAGACACGGCCCAGACUCCUACGGGAGGCAGCAGUGGGGAAUUUUGGACAAUGGGCGAAAGCCUGAUCCAGCCAUGCCGCGUGCAGGAUGAAGGCCUUUGGGUUGUAAACUGCUUUUGUACGGAACGAAAAGCCUCUUUCUAAUAAAGAGGGGUCAUGACGGUACCGUAAGAAUAAGCACCGGCUAACUACGUG
This 482-nucleotide ribosomal RNA is filed under the name uncultured bacterium. Its description in RNAcentral is "partial 16S ribosomal RNA". It matches the Rfam family "Bacterial small subunit ribosomal RNA", at positions 30 to 507 of the family's 1533-position model. The record is from RNAcentral.